CAGGCUUAACACAUGCAAGUCGAGGGGCAGCGGGGGAGUAGCAAUACUCCCGCCGGCGACCGGCGCACGGGUGAGUAACACGUAUGAAACCUGCCCGUAGCAGGGGGAUAAGCGGAAGAAAUUCCGUCUAAUACCGCGUAACAACCCGAGGAGGCAUCUCCUCGGGUUUAAAGGGAGCGAUUCCGGCUACGGAUGGUCAUGCGUCGCAUUAGCUUGUUGGCGGGGUAACGGCCCACCAAGGCGACGAUGCGUAGGGGUUCUGAGAGGAAGGUCCCCCACACUGGUACUGAGACACGGACCAGACUCCUACGGGAGGCAGCAGUGAGGAAUAUUGGUCAAUGGCCGCAGGGCUGAACCAGCCAAGUCGCGUGAGGGAUGACGGUCCUAUGGAUUGUAAACCUCUUUUGUCAGGGAGCAAAGGGCGCCACGUGUGGCGUUUUGCGAGUACCUGAAGAAAAAGCAUCGGCUAACUCCGUGCCAGCAGCCGCGGUAAUACGGAGGAUGCGAGCGUUAUCCGGAUUUAUUGGGUUUAAAGGGUGCGCAGGCGGAAUGUCAAGUCAGCGGUAAAAUUUCGGGGCUCAACCCCGUCGUGCCGUUGAAACUGGCGUUCUUGAGUGAGCGAGAAGUAUGCGGAAUGCGUGGUGUAGCGGUGAAAUGCAUAGAUAUCACGCAGAACUCCGAUUGCGAAGGCAGCAUACCGGCGCUCAACUGACGCUCAUGCACGAAAGCGUGGGUAUCGAACAGGAUUAGAUACCCUGGUAGUCCACGCAGUAAACGAUGAAUAAUAACUGUCCGGGCCGAUUGAGGUCUGGGUGGUACAGCGAAAAGCGUUAAGUAUUCCACCUGGGGAGUACGCCGGCAACGGUGAAACUCAAAGGAAUUGACGGGGGCCCGCACAAGCGGAGGAACAUGUGGUUUAAUUCGAUGAUACGCGAGGAACCUUACCCGGGCUCAAACGACGGAUGGAUGUCUCUGAAAGGAGGCAGUCCUACGGGACAUCCGUCGAGGUGCUGCAUGGUUGUCGUCAGCUCGUGCCGUGAGGUGUCGGCUUAAGUGCCAUAACGAGCGCAACCCCCAUCGCCAGUUACCAGCAAGUAAAGUUGGGGACUCUGGCGAGACUGCCGGCGCAAGCUGUGAGGAAGGCGGGGAUGACGUCAAAUCAGCACGGCCCUUACGUCCGGGGCGACACACGUGUUACAAUGGCAGGUACAGAGAGAAGCGAUGCGGCGACGCAGAGCGGAACUUCAAAGCCUGUCUCAGUUCGGAUUGGAGUCUGCAACCCGACUCCAUGAAGCUGGAUUCGCUAGUAAUCGCGCAUCAGCCACGGCGCGGUGAAUACGUUCCCGGGCCU
Molecule: ribosomal RNA, 1351 nt
Filed under: uncultured bacterium
Lineage: Bacteria
Description: bacterial SSU rRNA
Rfam family: Bacterial small subunit ribosomal RNA
Source: RNAcentral